Long non-coding RNA from Gallus gallus (chicken), 4439 nucleotides. RefSeq lists it as uncharacterized. NCBI's taxonomy places the organism in Eukaryota, Metazoa, Chordata, Aves, Galliformes, Phasianidae. The record is from RefSeq and is a predicted model, not a curated record. The transcript is spliced from 4 exons.
AGAAGCAGCGGCGGCGCGGGCGGAGCCGGCGGGCGAGCGCGCUGCCGAGCGGAAGCACUCGCUCUGCCGGGCGCCGCCUUCCGGAAGCACUACCGGGUGAGUCCCGGGGUUCUGCGGACGUGGUGCGUGACGUGGGGGGCGGGGCGCUGCUCCUGCCUUGCGCGGGAAACCGCAUCCCCCUCAGCACUGCUUGGCGGCGUGCGGUCGGCUGUUCCCGGGCGGGCUGUUGCGUCAGGGCGCCGGGCUCUGCGUCGGCCACACGAGUGUUAAAUGUCACGGAAUCGUUUUCGGUUGGAAAAGUUCCCUAAGAACACCAGGCAUUAAUUAAACUUCACUCUCCUAAGAAGUGCUGAUGAACCAUAGUGAUGCUAACAAUUCAUUUCUUCAGAAACACAUGGAGAUCAGCUGCAGUAAGACUCUAGAAAGCUGCAAAGAACAGGAAGAUAUUCAUAGCUGCUCCUGUGCCAGGAUCUAGCCAUUGUGGAAUCAGGAGAAAAGAGAUUAUUGAGAAAGUUGUGAUCCUUGUCACCUUCUCAUAUACAUCACGUACACUGCUGCAGAGUCACCACUUUGUCUUCUCGACAGCAAGCAUUUGAGAGCCUGUACUCACAAAGAUAUAUUAUGUUGGUUUUCAAGUUAUUUAUUUAUUUUUUAAUAAACGUGUUUAUGCACAAGAAGUUCAGAGGCAUUAGAGUUUGUCUGAAAAUGUCAGUCCUUCUUCCACCUUCCCUUCCGUUCCUUCUUUCCUUCUUUUCUGGAGGUUUUUAUAUUACAGAAAUGAACACUCUGUCACAACAAAGGUGAGGAUAUAUCCAGAGCAGAUAUUAGCUGUGAGCUCUGGCAGCCACUGUCAGACGUUUAUUCUUCACUAACCUUCUCUGCAGGACCUAAUCGCAGGGUUCAGUUUCCUCCUGAAGUACGUCGUAUUUGUACAUUCCUAAGCUCAGACCCACGCAGGCAUGGACCUACUGCUGUUUCUUUAGUACACAAGAGGGAGCUAUUGUUCACAACAAUUUGCCAGUGUUACUUUUUGUUGGAAAUACUGUUCUUUCAGAUUGGCUUUUUCAGUUUAGUGAUAAGAGGACACUGGAAGUUUAAAACAAAAACAUGUAUGUACAUAAGAUAGGCUUAGGUAUAGAUUGCAAUACCCAAGACUUAUGCGUGGAUCAGGCUCCCAGUUCAGCAGUGAAAGCUAUGCUUUAAGUCCUUUUAGGUACCAGGAUUCCAUGUAUAACCUACGGAGUUCUCCAGCAGUGAGGCUCUCUGAGCAGAAAUCUGCAAAAACUCCGUGGAAAAUGAGUAAAAGACUGUCUUCUGAUGUUCAAGAUGAACAUGGCUUGCUCAGAAAUAGAGAUUCCUCUGUCUGAUUAUUAGAAAUUGUCUCUGAUUAAUACUCACAGCUCACAGCCCUCCCAGGUAGUCCUAGGGUGAGGUGGCAGGGACUGUUGCUGUUAAUACAUUUUCUUCCAGACUGAAAGGCUCAGGGUGUGCAAAGGGCCAUUUCAUGCCUCUUCUCUGGCUGAAGCGGACUUUAAUGGACAGUGAGAGGAGGAAAGAUUUGGAUAAGGAUUGAAACACCUCAGAAGGAGACAGAGAACGAAACACUGACUGCACUGAAGUAGAUAAGAACUGCAAAUGCCUAAUAGAUUUUAUGCAAACAAUCUGAAGAAUCUAGGUAUGCUUUCUGCAGUGGUCUUCACAAUGGCUCUUGUUGUUUGUUGUUUUUUUUUUUCAUGUUGCUUUGUUUUGUUGCCCCACCAGUAGUGACUGAAUUUUGAUAAUGCUGUUACACUUACCUAGUGAAAUAAAGAAUUGUUCUUCAGUACGUGCAGUUUACCUGCUCUGAUUUAAGGUGACUAGGAUGUGAUGUAAAACUUAGUAAGAGUUUUAAUAAUAGUCUCUACAACUGUAUGGUCUAAUGAAAGAUUAUCGGUCUCUCUAUAGGAACAGUACCAAUCACAGCACUUUACGCAGUAUUGUGACUGCAUAAGUGACAGACAGGAUUUAGGAGACAAGGCAAAAAGGAUUCAAUGCAUUUUUCUUAUCUGUUAUUUACCAAGUGGUUCUUCCCUAUUCGGAAUGGUCCCAGCUGUUCAUACACUGACUGUUAAUAUGUUCUGAAAAUGAAUAAUAUAUUGGUCUGUUACCAUCUAUCACGCCAUAAUUACUGUUUAUAAGUCAAGGUCAAUUGAACAAACAAAGCUUUUAACACAACUGGCUGUCUAGUAAUUGCUGCUGUUGUAUUUCCUGAGGGAAGCAACCCAAAAUGUCAUGUAAGUAAAUAAGGAUACCCAUCUGGUACAUUAUCUGGCUACCUGAAUGUAGUCUGUUCAUUUAAAAGCUAUCUCGUAACCUUGAGUGAUACACUGAGCACGAAGUAUCUAAUAUUAAAAAGAUGCCAGACAGACAUUGGCAUAUCAAGUAUUACAAGUACUCUAAGCCAAAAGAAAUUUCUGCUUUUCCUCUUAGCCCACACAGUUUUAGUAACUUGAAAAGUAAAAUAAUGAUGUAUUCUGUGAGUCAGCUGGCAUUUUGUUUUGGAGUAUUUCUCAUUUAUUUUGCAUGGUUUCUUGCCCUUAGGAUAUUUAACUGGUACAUUUAGGUGUAUUCCUAAAGGAAACAGAAGCAUCUGGAAAAGCAAUAUGUUAUCACAGCAUUUGAAAAUAGGAGUCCAAGUCUCACAGGUGUGGCAAUUUAUAACAGAUUAAGUCAAGACAAAGAUCAGUCAUUAAAUAGAUCUGAAAAAAAAACAUGUGUAGAAGUGUCACGUGCAGAUUGAGGAAGACAUAUAUAAAAUGUGUUUCUUGAGGUGGAAUAAUAAUGGGGAAAACAAGACUGAUAUGAAAAGCAAGCAUCUUAGGUGGGAUUGAAAAUGGGAAGAAUGCUAUUACUCCAUAGCUGUUGUAAGAUUGUGAUGCUGUUCUGCAGGACAGGAUGCAUGCACAUCAAUGUGUAUUUUGGAGUUUGAGGAAGAAACACAUAAUCUCUUUACAGUUAUAGUUUGGCUAUUUUUUUUUUACUGCAGUUGAAAUGAAGAGUGUGUAACAUGUAUAUUGUAGUGAAAUUCACACUUGUGCAAUAUUAAUAUGAUUCACUGAAACAUUCAAGAAAAAAACACCUGAAUAGUGGAGGGUGGUUAGAGGUGCUUGGAACUUGGGUGACAGGUUACAGCACAGAGCAGCUUUGGAUUUCCUAUGAUGAAAUCACAGGAAAAAUAGUCAGUCAGAGAAUAAGCUAUUAAAUCUUCUUAUUAUGAGCCCACUGUUCAUUUCACUCAUUUACACAGAAAAAAGUGAAGGGUUAAUUAAUUAGCAGUAAAUAGAUAUAAGAAUACAUUAUGCCGCUUUGACUUGUACCACACAAACUCUACACGAAAAAAUAUAAACAUAGAAACGUAGUAAAAGUCUCAUCUACAUCUAAGCACAAAGCAUAACGUGAAGGAAAUCUCAGAAAACAUGCUUGUACAAAAUGGACAAUGAAGAUAGUCUGCCCAGAACAGUCUUUCAGUAAACGAUUCUCUCUAUGAUAAAUUGGCUCAAACUAGAAGCCUCUAAAAAAGAGCCUUACUGCAGGAGCACAGAGAUCUCUCAGUGCAGAUUGCUCAAGACUUUGGACUGGAAUACUGGUGUCAGAACUGAGCUAAUGCCUGCCUGCUUAACAAGAAUUUGUUUCUAGCAGCCUCUGUUCCACAGUAGCAAUGUUCUGCCAGAGGACGAAAGGAAUCCAAGACACUUUCCUUUGUUCCUGUUCUAGCCUUAGUCAUUUGUUUUGGACAAAAUUCAGCUGUCACCCACAUGGAAGACUAACCUAUGAGGAAGUACAGAAACAGCUGGUGCUUGAGCUGUUAUUGCAACCAGUGUAUGCUGCAUUCCUAACCAAGUCCUGCUUUUCUGUUAUAUGGAAAUAUUAAAGCAAAUCCUAUUAUGAAAACUAAUGCAUGAGGUUGAAAGAGGACAUCCAGCAGGAGACUACAAGACAAGAUUUCUGUCAAAGAAAGAGAGCAAGGAUAAUUCCAUACUUCUAAAGGAGUCUGACAAACAUGGUUCUGCAUGAUGCAGGCAUUCUGAAGUAGACAGAGAAUUUUAAAGUGGCUAUGAAAGGGAAGCAAGACCAAGAACACAAAGACACCUUUGAUUCAACAAUGAGGGAGAAAAAGAAAGAUUAAGUCACAACUGGAGAUGACUGAGAAAUUAUCAGAGGUAUGGUCUAAACAGAAGAAGGCUGUAGAGGAAGCCAUUUUGUGGGACAGGUACUACUCUGUGUUCUCCAGCAUCUUGGCGCCAGUAUAUUCAGUUAUUCACUUUUCAGUUUCUUUUUAUAACUUCUUGUUGUUACUCAUUUUCAGUAUAAAAAUAAGAUACACUAAAAAUUCACUGUAGGGUAAAAAUAUGUAACAAUUAGAGCUCUGGAUAUAAAUAAAAGACAGGAUUUUGACCAGA